This 300-nucleotide ribosomal RNA is filed under the name Legionella pneumophila. RNAcentral describes it as "partial 23S ribosomal RNA". It matches the Rfam family "Bacterial large subunit ribosomal RNA", at positions 1447 to 1742 of the family's 2925-position model. The record is from RNAcentral. Lineage: Bacteria; Pseudomonadati; Pseudomonadota; Gammaproteobacteria; Legionellales; Legionellaceae.
UUUAUAAGUGGUGAAGUGGGGACGAAGAAGGCUAGGUGAGCCAGGCGUUGGUUGUCCUGGUACUUGCAUGUAGGGGGGAAGACUUGGCAAAUCCGGUUUUCCAUAACUCUGAGGUGCGAAGUGGUUCUGACCUUUUGGUACAGAGAAGUCAUUGAUGCCCGGCUUCCAGGAAAAGCUGCUAGCCAUAACUUAUAGAGAACCGUACCGCAAACCGACACAGGUGGACAGGUAGAGAAUACUAAGGCGCUUGAGAGAACUCGGGUGAAGGAACUAGGCAAAAUGGUACCGUAACUUCGGGAG